UUGCUCUCAGCUGAACUUCAUUUGCUUCGGAAAAGAAGCAACGUGAGGUUUUGUUUUUUUUUUCAGGCUUACUACUUGUAAGGUGAACCUGGGAUUCUUUUAAGGGCAAACGAAAGUCAAGAAAUUAAAUAGGAAUAUGAAUCUCCAGAAUUUCUAUUAGCAAUGAUGAGAUUCAGUUUUUUGCUUGCAUCCCUCAUGUGAUCAUCUGCAUGAAAAAGGGUGGGAUGCUGGAUGGUGACAAAGUGGUCCCAAAUCUCAAGGCUUUUUCCACCAAUUGAUCAAGCUGAACUCAAGUGGAGAACUGCUAUUUGGAGUUCUAUUUCUUGGGUGACCAGUCUGUCUAGACUGCCAUUUAGUAGUUUCAUGUAGACAUUUUUUGGUUAUUGAAUGGGAUGGAUAUUAUUCUGACACACUGCAGAAUCCUACUGGUAAGUGAACAUCUAAAAUGUUUUCCUCAUUAGGACAACUCCCUGAAAAGAAGCAGAAAGGUCUUGAGAUAGUUUGACACACACCUGAGAACCAGCAGUGUUAAAGAACAUUUCUCAGAGAAUCAGGUCCUCUCAUCUCUCUACUUCUACAAGAAGUAGGAAUCAAGAAGGAACAAAUAUUGAAGAGCCUCUAGUGCCCCCAGAACCUUUUAUAUAGUUAUAACUCCUUCCC
RNAcentral lists this long non-coding RNA (660 nucleotides) under Coturnix japonica (Japanese quail). Its description in RNAcentral is "lncRNA (ENSCJPG00005000939.1)". Lineage: Eukaryota; Metazoa; Chordata; Aves; Galliformes; Phasianidae. The record is from RNAcentral.